UACGGGUCGGGCCCUCUAUCGCCAAGCCAGCCAGCGUGGGUCCGUCGCCGCCUCACUCCCUCUUCCAGUCCUAUCCAAAAAGAGUCCCGGGCUGAAAGGAACUCCUAAGGACACAAGGUUCCGUGAUACUUCGCUAUCCUGCAUCACAAGGUCACUCCAUGUGCAAGACUCCUGCUCCGGUCUGAGCUCCCCGGCACAAUUCGUGAAUCCAAAUGUGAGAGGCUGAAGGGCAGAAAAGAAAGAAGUACAACUCAUGGAAGAGGUUGUUGCUUGGAAAGACGCCACGCAUCUGAAAAAAAAUCUGUUAACUAUUUGUAGAAGCCUCAAAGCCACAGAGAAAAGACGGAACAAACUAUUAGCAGCUGCUGAAGUUUUGGGGUUGCAGUAGGUGUGAAUCUGGGUGCAAAGAAUGUGCGUAAGCCCUAUCCUUGGUGCCACAUGGAUUUAAUAGUCUCCAUAAAGAACUCCAAAGAUCUCAGCCUACGUUUUCCACUCCCACCCCCCAAAAACAGAUAAAGCCACAAAAUACACAGUUCAAACCCAGAGUUUGAACAGUUAAGCCUGAUGAGUUGAUCUGAAAUUUUAGCCUGACUGAAGCUGCAACUAUCAUGUCAAAUUAAUGCAGUUUGACACCACUUGAAGAGCCAUCAAUGCUAUCUUGGGGGUUUUAAGGCAUCAAUACUCUUGGGCAGAGAAGUUGAAGCCCUUGGUAGAUUACAAAUGCCAUGAUUCCAUAGCACUAAGCUAUGGUACUUAAAGUGGUGUCAAACUGCAUUAAUUAAUCAGUAUAGAUGCACCCUAAGCAAAUAUUAAGCUGACUGAGCAAAUCUGUCAAUUUCUCACACAUAUCUCAGGUUCUUUCCUCUCCCAGUGAAAUGCACAGAUAUUGAUAAUUUUUUUAAUGAAUUUCAUAAAAAUUACCACCUUAGAUGUACAGGCAGUCUCUAAAUUACAAACAAGAUAGGUUCUGUAGACCUGUUCUUAAGCUGAACUUGUUUGCUAGUCGGAACAGCUACAUUUUUGAUGGGUAGCAUAGGGAAGAGUUAACACCCCUGUGGUGUUUGUUUUGCUGUCUGUGCCCCUGUUCAGAAGAUUUCACCUCACUUUCUGUCCCUGUGAUAAUUGAAUUUUGAUUAAUUUGGCUUGUUGUGGAAAUAAGGAUUGGUGAUAAAGUCACUUACGUGACUGAAAUUGAUACGACCAUUUUAUUUGCAGCUAUCGCUGCAUUUUACUGAAUAUUUUCAUUAAUAGAGGUUUAUGCUUUUUAAGUAAAUCUGUUAUGUGUAUUACUGUAUUUUGUUACGUAUUUACUGUAUUGUAUAUAGCACUGCACUACCAUGUGCUUUUAAGCUGCCCCAAGUCCCUUUCGGGAGAUGGUGACGAGAUAUAAAGUUGUUGUUAUUGUU
This is a long non-coding RNA of Anolis carolinensis (green anole), 1406 nucleotides long. RefSeq lists it as uncharacterized. The record is from RefSeq and is a predicted model, not a curated record. Lineage: Eukaryota; Metazoa; Chordata; Lepidosauria; Squamata; Anolidae. The transcript is spliced from 2 exons.